RNAcentral lists this non-coding RNA (133 nucleotides) under Desulfuromonadaceae bacterium. Its description in RNAcentral is "SAM-I sequence". It matches the Rfam family "SAM riboswitch aptamer (S box leader)". Rfam says of the family: The SAM riboswitch is found upstream of a number of genes which code for proteins involved in methionine or cysteine biosynthesis in Gram-positive bacteria. Lineage: Bacteria; Pseudomonadati; Thermodesulfobacteriota; Desulfuromonadia; Desulfuromonadales; Desulfuromonadaceae. The record is from RNAcentral.
UCUUUAUCAAGAGUGGUGGAGGGACAGGCCCUGCGAAGCCACAGCAACCGAUCCGCCGUAGCGUUACGCGAAGGUGGGUGUCAGGUGCUAAAUCCUUCCCGUCGAUGCAUUGCAAAGAUGGGAAAGAUGGGGA